AUGUUACAACUAGGGCUGCCUAUAUCUUCCAUGCUAGGUGGGUUAUUCUCAAGAGGAGUGGACUCCGCUCCUCGUUCACGAGAAAGGGCCGGUAACCGGGAUGCCCAGUCCCAUGAUCCAAAACGAUCAAAGCAAAUCAAAAUAAUUAAACAAAACUCCCCUAAGAUUGUUGUAUGUUGGAGGCACUCAUUGUUUCGAGCAAGCCAUGGUUUGAUGCUUGUUGGUGGUUGGGGGAGUAUAAAACUUUACCAUUCUAUUUGGGAACUGCCUAUAAUGCAUUUAGUAUGGAAGAUACAGCCAUCCCAUAGAUGUUGCGUUGACAGUGAAAGUAUGCCGCUCAAAAUGUUAUUCAAUCUCUAUUUUAAAAUCGAGCUCUGA
RNAcentral lists this ribosomal RNA (378 nucleotides) under Triticum aestivum (bread wheat). Its description in RNAcentral is "partial small subunit ribosomal RNA". Lineage: Eukaryota; Viridiplantae; Streptophyta; Magnoliopsida; Poales; Poaceae. The record is from RNAcentral.